CGAGUGAACCGGGAAAAGCUCAAAUUUGAAAUCUGGCUGUCUUCGAUAGUCCGAGUUGUAAUCUAUAGAAGUGUUUUCCGUGCUGAACUGUGUCUAAGUCCCUUGGAACAGGGUAUCAAAGAGGGUGACAAUCCCGUACUUGACACAAUCAUCAGUGCUCUGUGAUACACUUUCUACGAGUCGAGUUGUUUGGGAAUGCAGCUCAAAAUGGGUGGUAAAUUCCAUCUAAAGCUAAAUAUUGGCGAGAGACCGAUAGCGAACAAGUACCGUGAGGGAAAGAUGAAAAGCACUUUGGAAAGAGAGUUAAACAGUACGUGAAAUUGUUGAAAGGGAAACGAUUGAAGUCAGUCGUGUUCAUUGGAUUCAGCUAGUUCUUCUAGUCUACUUCCUUUGAACGGGUCAACAUCAGUUUUGUCCGGUGGAUAAAGGCAGUAGGAAUGUGGCUUCUUCGGAAGUGUUAUAGCCUAUUGUCACAUACACUGGAGGAGACUGAGGACUGCAGCUCGCCUUUUGGCCGGGGUUCGCCCACGUUCGAGCUUAGG
This 542-nucleotide ribosomal RNA is filed under the name Cryptococcus sp. IS. RNAcentral's name for it is "LSU rRNA". It matches the Rfam family "Eukaryotic large subunit ribosomal RNA", at positions 90 to 621 of the family's 3401-position model. The record is from RNAcentral. Lineage: Eukaryota; Fungi; Basidiomycota; Tremellomycetes; Tremellales; Cryptococcaceae.